Molecule: transfer RNA, 64 nt
Filed under: Hemipenthes neimengguensis
Lineage: Eukaryota; Metazoa; Arthropoda; Insecta; Diptera; Bombyliidae
Description: tRNA-Arg
Source: RNAcentral
GAAUAUGAAGCGAUUAAUUGCAUCUAGUUUCGACCUAGCCUUAGACAAAACCUGUCCUUAUUCU